RNAcentral lists this small RNA (217 nucleotides) under Arabidopsis thaliana (thale cress). RNAcentral describes it as "ATSL118780". Lineage: Eukaryota; Viridiplantae; Streptophyta; Magnoliopsida; Brassicales; Brassicaceae. The record is from RNAcentral.
AACAAAAUUAACAACCACAAAAAUAAAACAAAAACUUACACUCUGUAUUGCCCUUUUUUAUCCCCAACAAAAGCAUCCCACAUUUGUUCUUCUGCAAUAUCACUUCUAUUUCUCCCUCCUUUCACAAGGAAGGGCGUAGAAGAAUCCACCAUAAUAGUUCUAUAACCAGAUAAUAAAAACAUUUAAAUUUCAUCAGCAAAACAAAACAAAGAAAACC